UGUACUGACAGUGCUGUCUGUAUACUUUGCGUGUGACAAGGAAGAGCGAGCUACGGUCGUGGUACAGAUUUUCUUCAUUUAUCGACUGAUAGAAAUUUGCAACAUGAAAGCAAUAAGCCCUCAGAGAUCCUUCACAAAAAUGAGCAUCAGUGUCUCGGAUCAAAACCUGGGAAUAUCUCGGAGUAAAACCCCAGUGGACGAUCCCUUGAGUCUGCUGUAUAAUAUGAACGACUGUUACUCCAAACUGAAGGAACUUGUCCCCAGCCUUCCUCCAAACAAAAGCGUUAGUAAGAUCGAAAUCCUGCAGCAUGUCAUCGACUACAUCCUGGACCUUCAGAUUGCACUUGACACCCAUUCCGCGAUAGAAAGUCUACAGCACCAGCAGCGCCUGGGGCAGGCUACACCCCGCACUCCCCUGUCAACCCUCAACACAGACCUGAACAGUCAUCCGUUGCAGCCUCCGGAGAUCUCCACGGAAUUAAACAAAGAUGACAGGAAGACGCUAUUUCGUUAAAAUUGUGUUUGGUUUGGACUAAAAAUGGACCUGACAUGUUCUUCAUUUUUGAUCUAGUUUCUGCACUUCGUCCUAAAUCGACUUCAGUUUUUUUUCUAUUUUUUUCCAUAACAUGCCGUCUAUGUGGUGUGUUAUGUUGUACGGACAGUCACAGCUAUUUAUAUAGUAGCCUAUCUAUGUCCUUUCUUCGAAAGAAAGGAACAAGCUUCUUUUUUCCCGAAAAAGGGAACUCAAAACAACCAAGUCACACAGAAUCACCAUCACAAGAAGUCUUUGCCUCUACAGAAGGUGGAGCGUGAACAAAUGACAACUUUUAUUGCUAAUUUAUAAAGUCUGCCAUAAACUUUACUUGUUUUGUUUAUAAGGGACAUUUUAAUGUGUAUAAAAUCAAUGAACCCUUGUAUAUCUGCAGAAAUUCUGGGCUGAAAAUGUAAUGCUGUACAUAGACAUGAUGAAACUUUUUAUAAAAGUUGUAUUGUAAAUUGUACCUUUUAUAGAAAAUAAAUAUAAUGCUUUAUUUGAGUAUCAAGGA
Molecule: non-coding RNA, 1046 nt
Organism: Paramormyrops kingsleyae
Lineage: Eukaryota; Metazoa; Chordata; Actinopteri; Osteoglossiformes; Mormyridae
Source: RefSeq, a predicted model, not a curated record